GGGCGAUCCGUCACUCGCCACUCUCAGACAGGCUGCUAUUAAUCACGCCGGCCACAUCCAUCAGGUUCUUCUCUUUUGGCCACGGCUCAUAGUCACAGAAGCGCAGCCAGGGUCUCCUGAUAAAUCAAACCCAACAGUUCUAUGAUAUGGAUGACACAGGAUCAAAAGACGCUGUGUGGGAAGUUCUACAUCACUGGGCAUGCUGUACACAUGGAAGCUCUUCAGCUGGUGUUUAGAGGAUGGAUGAGACUCAGAAGGGCAGACCCCAGGAUAUAGGGAAUGAGAACAUCCACCAAAUGGUGAACAGAGAUGUGAGGAACCCCUGCCUAGGAUGUGGAGCCAACUUGGAUAACCACCUGCAGGUCUGCUUCACCCAGAAUCGACCCAACAGUGGAGAGCAGAAGGCCAGAAAGGAGAAAGGCUAAUGUGAGCAGUUUCUUUGAGGUGAGAACCAUAAAGGAAUUUUUAACUCCCGAGGCUGGGAGCUCCAGAGAGUGCUACCUGGCCUGAGCUGGAAAUACGA
Molecule: long non-coding RNA, 523 nt
Filed under: Bos mutus (wild yak)
Lineage: Eukaryota; Metazoa; Chordata; Mammalia; Artiodactyla; Bovidae
Description: lncRNA (ENSBMUG00000002745.1)
Source: RNAcentral